RNAcentral lists this ribosomal RNA (235 nucleotides) under uncultured bacterium. RNAcentral's name for it is "partial 16S ribosomal RNA". It matches the Rfam family "Bacterial small subunit ribosomal RNA", at positions 109 to 339 of the family's 1533-position model. The record is from RNAcentral.
AGUAACACGUAUCCAACCUACCUUUACCACUGGAAUAACUAUUGGAAACGAUAGCUAAUGCCGGAUAGGUAAUAAAAACUAAUGUAUUUAUUAUUAAAGGGGCGUUUGCCCCGGGUUAAGAUGGGGAUGCGCAGCAUUAGCUAGUUGGUAGGGUAAUGGCCUACCAAGGCAACGAUGCUUAGCCGGCCUGAGAGGGUGAUCGGCCACACUGGAACUGAGACACGGUCCAGACUCC